This 323-nucleotide ribosomal RNA is filed under the name uncultured Bacteroidota bacterium. RNAcentral describes it as "bacterial SSU rRNA". It matches the Rfam family "Bacterial small subunit ribosomal RNA", at positions 28 to 351 of the family's 1533-position model. The record is from RNAcentral. Lineage: Bacteria; Pseudomonadati; Bacteroidota.
GAUGAACGCUAGCGGGAGGCCUAACACAUGCAAGUCGAACGGGAUCCCCGAGCAUUCGGGGUGAGAGUGGCGCACGGGUGAGUAACGCGUAUGCAACCUACCUGUAACAGAGGGAUAGCCCAUAGAAAUGUGGAUUAACACCUCAUAGUUCUAUUAGAUCGCAUGAUUUGAUAGAUAAAACUCCGGUGGUUACAGAUGGGCAUGCGUGACAUUAGCUAGUUGGUAAGGUAACGGCUUACCAAGGCUACGAUGUCUAGGGGGUUCUGAGAGGAUGAUCCCCCACACUGGUACUGAGACACGGACCAGACUCCUACGGGUGGCAG